Molecule: small nuclear RNA, 107 nt
Organism: Antechinus flavipes (yellow-footed antechinus)
Lineage: Eukaryota; Metazoa; Chordata; Mammalia; Dasyuromorphia; Dasyuridae
Source: RefSeq, a predicted model, not a curated record
GUGCUUGUUUCAGCAGCACAUACACUAAAAGUGGAACAAUACAUAGAAGAUUAGCAUGGCCCUUACAUAAGGAUGACAUACAAAUCUGCAAAGCGUUUCAAAUUUUU